Callithrix jacchus (white-tufted-ear marmoset) is the source of this 4485-nucleotide non-coding RNA. Lineage: Eukaryota; Metazoa; Chordata; Mammalia; Primates; Cebidae. The record is from RefSeq and is a predicted model, not a curated record.
GAUAAAAAAAAAAAGAGAGAGAGAGAAAUGACAGUCUCCAGAUCCAAUAUAACUGGGAUUCUCCCCUUUAAUAUCAGACAGCAUUGAAUUAGAGGUAAAAAAGUGUUGCAUCUGUGACAAGACUAUAAGUGGCCUAAAUCGCUUUGCAACACAAAACAAAACAGCAUUCUGGCAGAAACUGCUAACUGUCCACCAAAACCUAUUCUCUUUUUCCAUGACCCCGAAUUACAGAUGAGCAUAUGGCUGUUCAGAUACACCCUGCAAUCGCUUGGGAUUUCAAUGGAAUGUGAGUGGAGAUUACUUGAGACAUAUCGGACACUAAAAGCGAGCCCCAGUUGCAUCUUGUGGAAAGCACUGAGAGCUACCAAAUAUACACGGACGUUUCCAGCAUGAGUAUAUUUCAUUCCCUUUGAGAUCCCACAAUAAAAUGAAAGUGAAGAAACUCAAUAACAUGAAUCAAUUGCCCGCCCUACCAUGGUGGAGGAGAAACACAAUGCGAGAUCAAUGACGCAAGAUGAAGCCAAAUAUGCUCCAGUGAGCAUGGUAACUGGAAAAAUUGCCUUAUUUUUAUGUUUCCUGGUUGUGCAUGUGGCCACCCAUGACAUUUAAAUAGAUGUGUAAGAAGAAAGGGUAGACAGUGCAGAGCAUGAUAAUCACAUGAAGGCAUCAGCUCCUGACAGCCCGCUACAGGCCAGCUUUCACAUCGUGGGUGGCAUUGAGUAGAUAACCCACAGGAAUUGUCUCUGAAUCUGAGGUCAGGAGAACACAGCCAAGGCUACACAAGACAGAGAAGAUUCUGCUGAAUUUCAAAAGCUCAGCACUCAAGAGGGGUUUGGUUGGAUGGUUUGUGUUACGUCAGCGUUGUCAGCUGGGACAGAAGGAUCUGUUUCCAUGAUGGCUUCUUCACUUACAAGCCUUACAGGUUGUGUGUUGAUAUGUAUGGAGGUAAGAAUGGAAUCAAGGAACAAACCAAACAAAUAACAAACAAACCUGCAUCUGAAAAGCGUGUCUAGUGCUUUGGUGCAUUUUGACUUCUUUACUUCUCAACAAGUUAUCUCAUCUUCAAGUUCUUCUUAGCAUCGUGGUUUCAGGGUAGUCCUACCUCUUAACAUGUCUACCUUCCAAAAGCAGGAAGUAGAAGUUGCCAGGCCAGUGAAAGGCUAUAUACAGAAUUAGUAUAACAUUAUAUUAGCUCUAUUCUAUUGAUUGAAGUAAUCCAAAAUCCUGCUGAGAUUCAGGGAGAUGGUGAAAUAACAUUUCUUGAUGGGAGAGUGGCAAGAAACUUGCAGAAAAGCAUGCAGGAUGAGGGAUAUUGUUGUGACCAUCUUUGGAAAAUUGUCUGCCGCAGAAUCAUAUGAUUCAAUUUGUGUAAAUAUUCAUUUUUUUCGAUUUAAACAUUUAGAAAAAUGUAGAAUUAAAACAAUGUUUCUGUGGGGCAUAGCAAUUUUGGAUAGAAUUUUGGGUAGCUACUUUCUAUUUCAAAUUCUUCAGUGUUUGAUUUUCUUCACAGUAAACAUGAAUUACUAUUGUAAUCAGCAAAAUUUUUUUAAAUCUCAAUUUUGAUGUUAAAAAGAAACAGGUUGUUUAAAAUUGCCUUCUUACAGAGUGUGCAGUGCCUGAAGCAUGCAUUUAAAAGGAUGACUUUUUUUCCUGUGGAAAAGUUGAGGAGGGACCUUUACAUUUAAGUUUCCACAUUUACAGAUGGAGUAGGAGUGAUAGCUUCUUAGAAAAAUUGAAUUUGAAUAAUGGAUUUAAAUAAUAGAGGCCAUUAUUCAGGAUGAGCUUAAUGUAGUCCCCAUCCAGAUGAAAGAUUAAGGCAAUGAGCAGAUAAAAGCCUUACAGAUGCCUUAUGCAAAUUAUGUCGUAUUUAAAACUAAAACAAAAAAUUAAAAAUAAAGCAGACCAAAGAUUUCAAGAAGGAAGGAUCUAGGGGUUAUAUGUGGUUUUCAGCCAUCAGAAAAAAAAUGACCUAAUUCUUUAGUGGACAUCUGUCUGAUUCCAAGUCUAUUUUCAGCAGUAUCAUUCCUGUGAGUUAUCAGGAUAACAAUAAAUGUAUACACUUGAAAAUUUUUCAUUGCUUUCACCAUCUUCUCAAACAUACCCAGAAGUCAUAAUGCUGGAAUUACACUGAUACAAUCAUCCCCAUGGAAACAGAGGCUGGUGUCAUAAAUAUGGCAUUAUGACUUCUCAGCAGGAGGAGGCACUGAAUGUGUAAGAUUUAUUCAAAAACACAAAUGUCUUGGAGAAUAACACUAAGGCAAAAUAAAUAAAUAAAUCCAUGAAAGGUCAUGGAGGUGCCCCGACUACAUGCAUUUCAAGAGAUGUUUUCUGAGGAUUUGCUCGCCUUUGGCAGGACUUGCUUGUGCCUAUACUUUCUUUUUCAUUGUUCUGUUGGCAUGGCAUGUUCUCAUCUUAGUCUUGGCUGUUCAGGCUGUCAGGGGCUGCAUUUACCAAUGGGGAAGUUGAGAUCCAGACAAGGGAAUGCACUUGCCCAACUCACCUAGCAAGUAAGUGGCCCCGAGGAAGCCAGAGCCCUUCUCCCGACACCUAAUCCAUGCAUUUGAGUGUCCCUGUCACAUGUCUGUUUUAUGUCCGUUUAUGCUGAGAACACGUGUGCAUCAAUUAGGACAUUGGUUUGAUUGUUCUAAUGAGACCCCCCUCCACUGUGAGAAGUGUUUUAAAUAAGAUAGAAGUUUUCCUCUCAUAGCAGUCCAUGGUGUCAGGCUGUGUGUAUGUCUGUGUGUGUGUGUCUGUGUGUGUGUAUAUAUAUAUAUAUAUAUACAGACAUAUUAGUAUAUGUGUAUAAUAUAUAUACAUAUUAGUGUCUCUUCUGUGCCACCCUCAUGCACUAGUAUAACACAUCACAUACCAUAUUUAUUUUCCAGACAGAGUAAGGAGAGGGUGUUCUCUCAUCUUUUAAGAGCACAAUUGGAAAGCUGCACAAAUCACUUCUGCUUACAUUCCAUUGGCCAGGACUUAGUCGUAUACCUUGUUUCAAGAAAUGCUGAAUAGCCAUGUGUUCUGCAGAAGUGGGGGAUCUAUUAUUACAGGAGAAGGGGAAAACAGAUUUGGCAACAACCAGUAAUCUCUGCCACACUUGCGUCUCCUGUGACAGAGCAUUGUUUUCAGUGGACUGUAAACUAAUUUCCUCUCAGCUAGUGCAAUGGCUGAAGACUGAUGAUUGUGAUAUUCAUUUACCCAAGGGUAGUUACAUUUCUCAUUAUCAUAUUGGUUAUAGAAAUCACUGAAUUGGCACAAAGAUUGGACACCAGGCCUAAGAUCAAGAUAGAUGUUAAUUGAUCAUUAGAGUAUGUAUUAGGAUUGUGAGAGAAACCCUCCAAGUUAGUGGCUGUAAGAACAAAUAAGUCUAUUUCUUUUUCUCCUAAUUGUCUGAGAUGUAUUGUUCAAUGCUGAUGAAGAUUUGCUUAUUACAGGAGAUGGGAGCAUGGAUAUUAGUGGGCAGCUAGUGGUUUUCUCUGCAGUGUAGCCAGCUAGAAUGACUGAGCUCUGACCAUUUCUUUCAUCCCAGCAUCUUUGACUAAAAGAUGAGAGAGAGACAGAGAGAGAGGGAGAGAAAGAGAGAGAGAGAGAAAGAGGUUUUCUGAUCAGUUAGGCUUAGACCACGUACGCACUCCUUAGUAGCUGCUGGGGAGGUAAGAAAAGGAUCGUGGAACCUCUUUUUACAUCUGGAUUUACAUUCCCACUAAGACUAUUCCCAGUACAAUACUGGCCAGGAGUUUCUCUCACAGACCUUCUGGUUCCAGAAAUAUUUCCUCUUGUUCUUGUUAUUGUAGCAGCACCCCUAUUUCCUCUUGAAAGUUACAACCAAUUAUGUCACCAAUGCAAUAAUUUUUUGGUUGUUUAUCCAGCAGCAUGAAGAGGUCAAAAUGAUCAGCUGGAAUUUUCUACUUUCAGCUUAAUGGAAGUGUUGCUGCAACCCCUGCUAGAAGUCUUUUCCUCUUGAAUUCUAAAACCUCUAAAUUAACAAAGUCCAAAGUUACAGAGAUGGGAAGAAAAUUUUCUGAGUCCACACUUUGACAAAUGGAUCAUAGUGUACUCUAGAGUUUCCCAGAAGUACUUACUCACAGCUAGAGUCUAAUUAUUUCUGAAUGGUUCUGGUAUUUUCAUUUUCUUAAUCAUCAGUUACUCUGGUCUCUAGUCCUCUUGGCUAUGGCAAGGAAGAAGAUUCUCAGUAUACAUUUGUGUUAUCUUACUGUUCUUACUCAAUGUUUACCUGAUUUUCCCUUUAUUCCAGGGGCUCUAAGUCUAUGAAUUGGCUCAGGCCUUGGAAUUGAAUAAGGGACUGUGAUUUUUUUAAUAGUGACUCAAAUGAGUCCUAUUCGCCAGACCCGCAGCAUGAUCAAUGACACAGAGCAGGUAGGACCAUAGAGUUGCUUAUUGUUUUGAUCUUAGAGAGUCCAGUGAUUAAAUAACUUUCAUCAAAUGUUAUUUCACAUAUUCUAAUUACUACUUGGGCUCUGCUGC